RNAcentral lists this long non-coding RNA (214 nucleotides) under Elaeis guineensis (African oil palm). Its description in RNAcentral is "long non-coding RNA (EGUI_LNC072306)". Lineage: Eukaryota; Viridiplantae; Streptophyta; Magnoliopsida; Arecales; Arecaceae. The record is from RNAcentral.
UACCCAUAGAUGAACAUGGGUUGACCAACCAAAGUUGGGCUUGUGUGUAGUCUGUAUGGAUUUUAGUACCCACUAAGGAAUUAAAGUAAUUCCUCGAAUUGGAGGUUGAGGCUACCAAUUCGUAAAAAUAUUGGGAGAAACUUUAGACUAAAGUCCAAAUCUUUAGUAUUAAUAAUUUAUGUACUAAUAUAGAUCUGAUUUUUCUUUAUGCAGC